UACGUAGGUGGCAAGCGUUAUCCGGAUUUAUUGGGUGUAAAGGGCGUGUAGGCGGGAGCGCAAGUCAGAUGUGAAAACUCAGGGCUCAACCCUGAGCCUGCAUUUGAAACUGUGUUUCUUGAGUGCUGGAGAGGCAAUCGGAAUUCCGUGUGUAGCGGUGAAAUGCGUAGAUAUACGGAGGAACACCAGUGGCGAAGGCGGAUUGCUGGACAGUAACUGACGCUGAGGCGCGAAAGCGUGGGUAGCAAACAGG
This 253-nucleotide ribosomal RNA is filed under the name uncultured bacterium. RNAcentral describes it as "partial 16S ribosomal RNA". It matches the Rfam family "Bacterial small subunit ribosomal RNA", at positions 524 to 776 of the family's 1533-position model. The record is from RNAcentral.